Molecule: ribosomal RNA, 301 nt
Filed under: uncultured bacterium
Lineage: Bacteria
Description: partial 16S ribosomal RNA
Rfam family: Bacterial small subunit ribosomal RNA
Source: RNAcentral
CAGUAGCCGCGGUAAUACGAAGGGUGCAAGCGUUACUCGGAAUUACUGGGCGUAAAGCGUGCGUAGGUGGUGGUUUAAGUCCGUUGUGAAAGCCCUGGGCUCAACCUGGGAAUUGCAGUGGAUACUGGGUCGCUAGAGUGUGGUAGAGGAUAGUGGAAUUUCCGGUGUAGCAGUGAAAUGCGUAGAGAUCGGAAGGAACAUCUGUGGCGAAGGCGGCCAUCUGGGACAACACUGACGCUGAAGCACGAAAGCGUGGGGAGCAAACAGGAUUAGAUACCCGGGUAGUCCCUGUCUCUUAUAC